This 209-nucleotide long non-coding RNA is filed under the name Elaeis guineensis (African oil palm). RNAcentral's name for it is "long non-coding RNA (EGUI_LNC032927)". The record is from RNAcentral. Lineage: Eukaryota; Viridiplantae; Streptophyta; Magnoliopsida; Arecales; Arecaceae.
GAUCAAAAGAUAAUGAUUCAGUUGAUGAUAUAUUAAAAAAAAUUUUCUAAUAAUCAUCAUGCUUUAGCCAAAGACGUCCAGAAUCAUCGACCUAUGAGAUCACAUAGGAUAUUUGCUCUCUUUAUUAGGAGUGACUGAUCUCUUAUUGAUCACUCACAACCUCUAUGCAUACUUCACCAUAUCUAGAACACUCCAUACAAAGAUCAGAG